AUGGAGGAUGUCGUUGACAAGUUUCUGGUGCGUGUCGAUGACAGCUCUGAUCCUGCCGCCAACUCGAACAAGAUCAAACGGCUCACCAAGAAGAUGGCCGGCUUGUUCACUAAGGGGAAGACUCACCAUGAGAUCGCGAACGCGAUCAAGGACAUCAAUAAGCAAGUCCAAGAGGUUGCUAGCAGGCGUGUACGGUACAAUGUCGACAAUAUUGUCACUAUGCCUGCAGGGAUGACUCCCAUCGACCCUCGCCUUCGGGCUCUGUACACCGAAGUGACAGAGCUUGUUGGCAUUGCUGGGAAAAGGGAUCAAGAGCUAAUGAAAUUGCUAUCAGAAGGAGACGACGAGUCCAAGAAAAAAUUGAAGAUUGUCUCCGUUGUCGGAUUUGGAGGAUUAGGCAAGACCACUCUUGUCAAAACAGUCUAUGACAAGAUAAAAGGAGAAUUUGGUUGCCGAGCUUUUGUUUCUGUCGGUCGAAAUGCUAGCGCAAAAAAGAUUUUGAUGGAUAUCCUUCUUGCUCUUGACAUGUACGAAAGCCAUUUCGCCAUAUUGGGUGAAACACAACUCAUCGACAAACUCCGGGAGCGUCUCGAGAACAAGAGGUACCUCAUUGUAAUUGAUGAUAUAUGGGAUGAAAAAUUGUGGACAAUUAUCAAUUGGGCCUUCUCUAAAAGCAACAAUUUUGGCAGUCGGCUAAUGACGACAACUCGUAUAUUCAGUGUAUCUAAAUUAUGCUGCUCAUCUACUAAUGAUUCAGUCUAUCAAAUGGAACCUCUUAGUGAUGAUGAUUCCAAAAGGCUCUUCUGUAAAAGAAUAUUUUCUCAAGAGAGUGGAUGUCCUCGUGAAUUAGAAGAAGUGUCCACGCGCAUAUUAAAGAAAUGUGGUGGAGUGCCAUUAGCCAUAAUUACUAUAGCUAGUCUUUUGGCUAAUGAUCAACAUCUAAAACGAGAGGAUGAGUGGCAUGUUUUGCUAGAGUCUAUUGGCCGUGGACUUGCCGAAGACCAUGUUGUUGAGGAGAUGAGGAGGAUACUAUCAUUUAGCUAUUAUGACUUGCCUUCUCAUUUAAGAACAUGUUUGUUAUAUCUAAGCAUGUUUCCAGAAGAUCAUGAGAUUAUGAAAGAUCAAUUGAUAUGGAUGUGGAUUGCUGAAAGUUUUGUCCAAUGUGAGAAAUUAAAAACUAGUCUCUUUGAGAUCGGAGAGACUUACUUCAAUGAGUUGGUGAACAGAAGCUUGAUCCAGCCGGUAUACAAUUUUCGUGGCUUUGUAUAUGCUUGUCGUGUACACGAUAGUGUGCUUGAUCUAAUUUGUUCAUUAUCAAGCGAAGAUAAUUUUGUUACCAUAUUGAAUGGUACCGAUGAAAGCAUUUCUUCUCGGAGAAAUGUGCGCAGGUUGUCCCUCCAAAAUACAAUCAAAGAAGAACAUCGAACAAUGCCUCUUAUUUCUGGGAGUAUAUUACAAGUGAGGUCCAUUGCCACAUUUAAAUCUGCUAUUGGUCUAUUGCCGCCUUUGUCGAGCUUCGCUGUUUUAUGUGUACUGGAUUUGACUGGAUGUAAUGUUGGUGAUCAUAACCAUCUAAACCUUCAAGAGUUGGGGACUUUAUUUCACCUGAGGUACCUAGGUCUAGCCGAUAUAGAAAUUUCUGAGGCCCCAGAAGUUGGAAAGUUACAGUUUUUACAGGUGCUGGAUUUGAGUGGAAAUUAUGAUAUAAAAGAACUUCCGUCGAGUGUUACCAAACUAAGAAGAUUGAUGUGCCUACUAACCGAGCCUCUCUGGAAUCUUCCAGAUGGGCUAGGAAAGCUGGCAUCAAUGGAAGUGCUGGGUGAAAUCUGUGGUGACUCUCUAUGCACUGUGAAAGCAUUGGGCAACAUGAAAACAUUGAGGAAGCUCCAAAUUAAAUUUAAUGACCUGAGCAUGGAGUUAGAGGAAGCGUUUAUGGAGUCACUAGGAGUUUCCAACAUCCAAAGUCUAGAAAUUGAUGCCAGUGGUGCUUCCAUGGAUCUCUUGGGGGAACGUUGGGUGCCCCCUAGCAGUCUCCGGGAAUUUAUCGCAGACAGACAUGGCAUAUUCUCCACGCUGCCUGCAUGGAUAAGGAGAAAUCCCUCACAUCUGUCGCAACUAUACGAGUUGCACAUAUGGGUCAAGGAAGUGGGGCAGGAGGAUCUGGAAUUCCUUGGAAGGUUAUCGGCUCUUCACCGUCUCACAUUACGAACUACCCGCCAAAGGAAGCUAUUCUUCAGUGCUGAUGGGUUCCGUUGUCUGACAACAAUCGUGUUGGUUUGUCGGUCGCCGGGCCAAAUCGUGUUCCUGCCAGGAGCUUUGCCCAAGGCUGAAACUGUCAAGUUUGAAAUCGGUUUGCGGGUCGCAAAAGAGGAAGCAGCUGGUAACGGUGGUGAUUGGUUUGACCUGGGCAUGGGACACUUGAUGUCCCUUCAGAAGGUUCAUGUCCGAUUCUACACCUCCGGGGUGAUGGUCGGCGAGGUCAAGCAAGCGCGGGCUGCGCUGGAGAACACACUCCAUGCCCACCCUAACCGUCCCGUCUUUGGCGUCUUCUUCAUCCCGAACAUAGUACACGAAGGCACAAGUGACGACGACACCUUCGUCUAG
Molecule: ribosomal RNA, 2604 nt
Filed under: Triticum aestivum (bread wheat)
Lineage: Eukaryota; Viridiplantae; Streptophyta; Magnoliopsida; Poales; Poaceae
Description: partial small subunit ribosomal RNA
Source: RNAcentral